Molecule: long non-coding RNA, 1113 nt
Filed under: Echeneis naucrates (live sharksucker)
Lineage: Eukaryota; Metazoa; Chordata; Actinopteri; Carangiformes; Echeneidae
Description: lncRNA (ENSENLG00000014526.1)
Source: RNAcentral
AUUUACACAAACCACAAACGUUUGAUGGGAUGGUGUGUGGUUACUUGUGUGUUCGAAGGAGGGACUCUGAAUUUGAAGUAAUUUAGAGAAGUGAGAAGUUCCUGGUUCAGCAGUGAAGAAAGAAGAGAGGCAGACAUGAAGGGCCAUCACACUCUGAUCUUCCUCUUUCUGGCUCUGCAGGACAGAAUGAGCGGAGUCUUUAAUGAAGAACUUCCUGUCCAUACAGGAAGUGAAGGAGGAAAAGUCACAGUUCUGUGUGACUUUCAACUCAAUGGACAUACAAUGUUUUUCUGUAGGAAUAGAUGUGAAAAAAAGGAGGAGACUCUCAUUGAAACAAAAAAAGACAGAGAGCAGAAAGGCAGAUACAGCAUCGAAUAUUACAGAGGAGGUGUUAUAGAAAAAGAUAUUCUAAAAGUGACAAUCAGACAUCUGAAGAAGUCUGACUCAGGACGGUACAGCUGUGGUUUGAAAAGAUAUAUUUUACCUGAUGGUUCCGAUGAGUUUGAACUCAGAGUCAUCGAUGCUUCCACCACCUCAAAACCAAACGUGACUCCACUUCAGUUAACUUCACUCCCAUCAGCCACCACACCGACAACGACAGAACACAGUUUAGGCUCCACGUCUUCACCCCCCUCUGAGACCACCGGCCUGUCUGAGACCUCACCUGAGGAAUCUGGAGGCUCAGAGUCCUCCAAAGUUUGGCUGAUUUUGAUCCUGAUUCUGGUCUUCACGAGCAUCUCAUUAUCUGCAGCUGUGCUGCUAUUCUGCUGGACCAGGAAGAGUAAACCGAGCGAACUUGCUGAGGAAAGUUUUUACGCCAAUGUCACCAAGGACCAGCGAGUGUACGAGAAGGUGGAGGAGGGGGGCGGCGCAGACGGCGUGUCCACGAUUUACCUCCAAUCCUACAGCUUGGUUGGCGCCUCUUCAGCCAUGAAUCAGGACAAAGCCGCAGACACGGAUGGUUUUGUCUACUCUAUGGUGAAUUUCCCCAAAAACGCAGCGGCGUCGCACCACGGCGCCCCCCCUGCUAAAGAAGAUGCUGUCAUCUACUCUGUUCCUCGAGGGGCCGCCGACGCUUCAACUUCUCUGUACUCGACUGUCAACAAACAUUAA